AGCGAACGCUGGCGGUAGGCCUAACACAUGCAAGUCGAACGGCAUCAUCGUAAGAGCUUGCUCUCACGGGUGGCGCGUGUCGGAAGAGUGCGGUAGACAUCGGAAUCUACAUUUUAGCGGGGGCUAACGUAGGGUAACUUACGCUAAUACAGCAUACGACCUACGGGUGAAAGCCGGGGAUCUUCUAGCCUUGCGCGAAUGAAUGAGCCGAUGUCGGAUUAGCUAGUUGGCGGGGUAGAGGCCCACCCAGGCGACGCUGCGUAGCUGGUCUGAGAGGAAGAUCAGCCACACUGGAACUGAGACACAGUCCAGACACCUGCGGGAGGCAGCAGUGGAGAAUAUUGCACGAUGGGCGCGAGCCUGAUCCAGCCAUACCGCGUGAAUGAAGAAGGCCUUCUGGUUGUAGAAUCCUUUUGUUGGGAAAAAAAAGCAGCACUUUAAUACCCCGCUGUUCUGACGGUACCCAAAGAAUAAGCCCCGGCUAACUUCGUG
RNAcentral lists this ribosomal RNA (492 nucleotides) under uncultured bacterium. RNAcentral's name for it is "partial 16S ribosomal RNA". It matches the Rfam family "Bacterial small subunit ribosomal RNA", at positions 29 to 507 of the family's 1533-position model. The record is from RNAcentral.